Molecule: ribosomal RNA, 532 nt
Filed under: uncultured bacterium
Lineage: Bacteria
Description: partial 16S ribosomal RNA
Rfam family: Bacterial small subunit ribosomal RNA
Source: RNAcentral
UGGGGAAUAUUGCACAAUGGGCGCAAGCCUGAUGCAGCCAUGCCGCGUGUGUGAAGAAGGCCUUCGGGUUGUAAAGCACUUUCAGCGAGGAGGAAGGUGGUGAACUUAAUACGUUCAUCAAUUGACGUUACUCGCAGAAGAAGCACCGGCUAACUCCGUGCCAGCAGCCGCGGUAAUACGGAGGGUGCAAGCGUUAAUCGGAAUUACUGGGCGUAAAGCGCACGCAGGCGGUUUGUUAAGUCAGAUGUGAAAUCCCCGGGCUCAACUGGGAACUGCAUUGAAACUGGCAAGCUAGAAGUCUCGUAGAGGGGGUAGAAUUCCAGGUGGUAGCGGUGAAAUGCGUAGAGAUCUGGAGGAAUACCGGUGGCGAAGGCGGCCCCCUGGACGAAGACUGACCGCUCAGGUGCGAAAGCGUGGGGAGCAAAACAGGAUUAGGAUAACCCUGGUAGUCCACGCUGUAAAACGAUGUCGAUUUUGGAGGUUGUGCCCUUGAGGCGUGGCUUCCGGAGCUAACGCGUUAAAUCGACCGCCU